This 803-nucleotide precursor RNA is filed under the name Zea mays. RNAcentral describes it as "precursor miRNA zma-miR160a". The stretch from base 320 to 411 matches the Rfam family "mir-160 microRNA precursor family". Lineage: Eukaryota; Viridiplantae; Streptophyta; Magnoliopsida; Poales; Poaceae. The record is from RNAcentral.
AUCUCCUUCACGCCUUCUCGCUAGCUGUUCUUUCCUCCUCUCUCAACCCUAACCCUAGAUCUCUGCUACCUUCCUCCUCCCCUCCAGCUAGCACAAGUCUGUUCAUCUUGCUGUCUUUGUUGCUCAUCGUGCUCCAGUUCUGUUCCUAGCUCGCUACAUAUAGCGUUAUACUGCAUGCCCAAAACGGAACACAUGUUUGUGCUCUCCUGGCCGGCCAGUCUCUUCAUUCCUUGCACAGUUGCAAAUACAGUUGUGUGACAGAGAUAAACAGAGAGUCAAAUACGUACAUAAAGAGGUUUGAUCAAAUUCAGAUUUGUGUGCGUGCCUGGCUCCCUGUAUGCCACACAUGUAGCGCCCAACCCAGAUGCUAAGGUUGCCUGCUGUGGGUGGCGUGCAAGGGGCCAAGCAUGCAUCCAUGCAUGCAUGCACUUUUGUUCGAUUCAUUCUUCAUGCCACUUUUUGAUGGCUAGUACCAUGUGUGUGUUUCCAUAUGUUCAUGUUUCGAUAUGAUGUAAUUUCAUGUUUGGUAUAUAUGCAUGCAUAUAUAUACAUCUCCUCCAUUCUUUUUGCACAGGGAGCCGGCCCAAGGGAGGAAGCUAUAGCCAAACUGGUGUGUGGAUUACAAUUUUGUGUGCUUCUCCUCACCGGCCAGUUUGCCAGAAUAAUGGCAGCAGCUUGCUCAGCUCCGAGAAGAAACCAGCUGUGAGGUUAUCAGGAACUUGUAUGGUUUCAAUUUGUUUGUGGUUUUUAACACAUGGCAGAUCGAUCAUCCUUUGCCUCAAAUGAAGUACACAUAUCGCUAG